GGGGCCCAGCGUGCAGCAGGCACUGCUGCAGCUGCUCGAUCUCGCCGCCACCGCAGGCUCAGCUCCUCCUCCAGCUGCAACAUGCGACUUCUCGGCCACCGUGGUCAGCUGCAGGGAGAAGAGGGACACGAGUCAGCGGCCCUGAGGGCGGAGGGUGGGAGGAGGAGAGAGCACCCACUCCCAUCCGGUACAGCUGUGCUCCCUGCCCUUGUGGACCCCAAUGGGACUGGAGCCACAGGUCCCCUCCACCCUAGGUGGCUUGGGACAAAUUGGUGGGUAAGAGAACCUCCCUACUUGAGGUUAUGGCUUUCUGGAAGGUGAUGUUAUUGUCAAUAUUUUUGCAGUGUUGGGCAUGGAACCCAGAGCCUUGCACAUAUUGGCCAUGUGCUCUACCACUGAGCUACUUCCCAGCCCUUUUCGGUUUGUUUUUUGAGACAGGGUCUCACUUCGUAGUUCAGGCUGCCCCCUUGAACUCACUAGGUAGCCCACUAGACUCAAAGUGAUCCUCCUGCCUCAGCCUCCCGAGUGCUGGGAUUAUACGAAUACCUUGCCCUUUUUUAAAAAACUUUAAAGUUCGAGACAGUCUCAUUAAGGUGCCUAGGCUGGGCUAGAACUUGUGAUCCUCCUGCCUCAGCCUCCUGAGAGGUGGGAUUACAGGCGUGCACCCAUCACCUCCCUAGUUAAUUUUUAUUUAAAUUUUUGGCAGUGCUAGGGAUUGAACCUAUGCAUGCUAGGAAAGGCUCUACCGCUCAGCUCUCUCCCGAUCCUUAGUGUUAUUUAUAUAUAUUUUUUGGUACUGGGGAUUGAACUUGGGACCUUGCGCUUUCGAGGCAGGCGGCGGAACCACUGAGCUGAAUACCCAGCCCCCCUUAGUAUUAUUUUUAAGCACAAAGGCCGGAGUGAAUUUCUCAUGAUCUCUCUAGUGAGGCACGGGCCGGAAUGGGCUGUCCCAGAGGGCCCAGGUCAAGGAGGAGGCCAGAGGGUAGGGCUUCAGCGGGAGGCACCACUGUCUCUAAACCCACCCUGAUCCCAUCCAUGGUCCGAGAUCUGGGAACAGUAUAUUUUAACGUUUCAAAUCUUACAAAAAAAAAAAAAUCUCUUACAAACGUGAAAGAUUUUGUGAUUAUUCUUUGGCAUCAUAAACUUUUCUCUUUCCAGUACUGGGAUUAAACCCAGGGCCUUUGCACUUUCUGAGGGAAGCUGUCAAUAAACUGCCCAGGCUGGGCUCUGAACUCAGGAUCACCUUCUUUUGUGAUCUAGAUGGGUUUAGAUCAAAGCACCUCCGUCGGGAGGGCUCCGAUGCG
RNAcentral lists this long non-coding RNA (1304 nucleotides) under Heterocephalus glaber (naked mole-rat). RNAcentral's name for it is "lncRNA (ENSHGLG00000040892.1)". Lineage: Eukaryota; Metazoa; Chordata; Mammalia; Rodentia; Bathyergidae. The record is from RNAcentral.